UACGGAGGGUGCAAGCGUUAUCCGGCUUCACUGGGUUUAAAGGGUGCGUAGGCGGUCAUAUAAGUCAGUGGUGAAAUACUUCAGCUCAACUGGAGAGGUGCCAUUGAUACUGUAUGACUUGAGUACAGACGAGGUAGGCGGAAUUGACGGUGUAGCGGUGAAAUGCUUAGAGAUCGUCAAGAACACCGAUAGCGAAGGCAGCUUACUAGACUGUAACUGACGCUGAUGCACGAAAGUGUGGGGAUCAAACAGG
Molecule: ribosomal RNA, 253 nt
Filed under: uncultured bacterium
Lineage: Bacteria
Description: partial 16S ribosomal RNA
Rfam family: Bacterial small subunit ribosomal RNA
Source: RNAcentral